RNAcentral lists this unclassified non-coding RNA (171 nucleotides) under uncultured fungus. RNAcentral describes it as "sequence contains ITS1". The record is from RNAcentral. Lineage: Eukaryota; Fungi.
CCUGGCCUUGGGCCACUCCUGCAUGGCGGUCACGCCUUCGGGGGUGCUUAGCCCUUGACUAUCACCUUGACUAUGCGUACCUUUGUUGUUUCCUCGGCAGGCUUCCUGCCGAUGGAACCCUUUACAACCCUUUUGCAGUAGCAUCAAACUGAAACAAACCACAAUUAUUUA